Molecule: long non-coding RNA, 350 nt
Filed under: Olea europaea (common olive)
Lineage: Eukaryota; Viridiplantae; Streptophyta; Magnoliopsida; Lamiales; Oleaceae
Description: long non-coding RNA (OEUR_LNC001519)
Source: RNAcentral
UAAAUUUUUCCCAAUCCUUGUUCUGCCGAGAGGAAGUGAUUUUCAAUUCAACCACGACAUCAUCAUCAACUUCCAACUUCUUGUAUUGCUCGACCAAAGACUUAGUUCGCUCAAUUCCUUGGGAGGCGUUGCGCUUUUUAGCAGCCAUUCUCGCCUUGCAGUCGUCCAUUUUGGCCUGAAGUUCCUUCAUCUGAGCAGCCAAACUAACCAUCAAAGAGUCUUCAAUCAUGACUUCGGAAGAGAUUUCUUUCAACUCGUCCUCAGCCUUGUUGAUCUCCAGACGCAAAGACUCUUUUUCAGAUACGGCGCGAAGAUAUUGAGUACUUUUGGCCUUUAGUUCAGCAUUCUUG